AACCCUCAGCUUCAGUCUGAGCUUUAAUGAACAUCUGCAUGAUCAGUCUAUUAAAUACAAGGAAAUAUGAUUUUCACUGAAAAAAUGCAAAAUACAGAGGAUAACAUUGUAGUCAAUGGUGAUAAAACACUUAAAAAAGGUAAAAA
Sphaeramia orbicularis (orbiculate cardinalfish) is the source of this 146-nucleotide long non-coding RNA. RefSeq lists it as uncharacterized. NCBI's taxonomy places the organism in Eukaryota, Metazoa, Chordata, Actinopteri, Kurtiformes, Apogonidae. The transcript is spliced from 3 exons. The record is from RefSeq and is a predicted model, not a curated record.